AUACGGAGGAUGCGAGCGUUAUCCGGAUUUAUUGGGUUUAAAGGGUGCGUAGGCCGAAAUAUAAGUCAGCGGUGAAACGCCGGAGCUCAACUCCGGCCCUGCCGUUGAAACUGUAUUUCUUGAGUAAAUUCGAGGUAAGCGGAAUUCGUAGUGUAGCGGUGAAAUGCAUAGAUAUUACGAGGAACUCCGAUAGCGCAGGCAGCUUACCAGACUUUAACUGACGCUGAGGCACGAAAGUGUGGGUAUCAAACAGGAUUAGAUACCCUGGUAGUCCACACAGUAAACGAUGAUAACUAGUUAUCCGGCGCGAUUGUGUGCUGGGUGACCGAGCGAAAGCGUUAAGUUAUCCACCUGGGGAGUACGCCGGCAACGGUGAAACUCAAAUGAAUUGGCGGGG
Molecule: ribosomal RNA, 397 nt
Filed under: uncultured bacterium
Lineage: Bacteria
Description: partial 16S ribosomal RNA
Rfam family: Bacterial small subunit ribosomal RNA
Source: RNAcentral